Molecule: non-coding RNA, 69 nt
Organism: Oesophagostomum dentatum (nodular worm)
Lineage: Eukaryota; Metazoa; Nematoda; Chromadorea; Rhabditida; Strongylidae
Source: Rfam
UUAGCUUUGAUAUGUCUGGUAUUCUUGGGUUAUGUGUGAACCAGAACUAUUAGACAUAUCGAAGAUCGG